This 1902-nucleotide long non-coding RNA is filed under the name Homo sapiens (human). RNAcentral describes it as "HSALNT0252060". The record is from RNAcentral. Lineage: Eukaryota; Metazoa; Chordata; Mammalia; Primates; Hominidae.
UUAGAGGGAGAUGGGGGAUGGGGUGUGAGAGCAACAAUAGCAUUAGAGGGAGAUGGGAGAUAGGGGUGUGAGAGCAACAGGAAUGGAGGAUUUCCUGACACCUGAAUAGUCAGAGAGACCAUCACAGGGAAGGUGACACAUGAGAAGAGGCUUCACAGAAGAAAAGGAAGAAACUACCAGGAAUUUCUUAUUUUGUCCAAAUGGACCCAAUCUAGUCUUGACCAGUGGAAGGUUCCUGCUAUUUCUUCUGAGGCCACAACUGCCUUUGCCAAUGCCUCAUCAGGUUGUCCAGGGCCUGAAGCUUAUACCUCACCAUGGAUUCCCAUGACAGCAUGGGGCAAGGGAGUCCUCGGGACCCAAGACAAAGAGUGGGAAGGGACUGAAGAGAUGUGGAAGAGACUGCAGAGAUGUGGAAGAGCUCCCGUCAACCCUACUGCAGACCUGGACCGAAGUCAAAGCAUGAACAGUGCAUAGGAGCCUGAAGCUGUGCCCACCCCACGCUGAGAAGGUUCAAAUUCCCUCAACAAGUAUUUACUGAGUGCCUCCCUUGGGUCAGGCACUCUUCUAAGCAUUGGAGAACACCAGUGAGCAAAAAAGAAUUUCUGACCUUGGGAGCUGACAUUCUAUUAAGGAGACAGACAAAAGACUCAUGUUCUGUAGAAAUAUUUUAUAGCUUGAGCUUUGUGGUGAUUAUGCAUGUGUGUGUUUAUGUAAAAAAUUCAUUCAGCUCUUAAGAUUUAUGCAUUUUAUUUUAAGUGAUACUUUGAUUAAAAAGCAAAAUAAAAAUUUAUUGUUAUUAUAUGUAUUUUUCACGUAUUAAAAAGACUGUUAGUCUCUAGCGAUGGUAAGGGUCUGAGCAAGAGAGUCAUCCUAGACAACUGGCAAUAAUGAAUAGGACGCUACUCCCUUUUUGAAGGGUAGUUUGAUAAUAUUGUCAAAACUCAUAGAGUCUGACCCAGUCACUUUAUUUAUAUGAAAUUGUAUUACUUGUGCACGAAAGCCAAAGAUGAAAAAAAGCUUAUUGUAACAAUGUUUGUAGUAGCUAAACAUUGGAGGAGGUGAGAAGCUAACAGUUUUCAACAAGCAAAUUGUAAUUUUUUUGGAUCCAGAGAUCAGAAAUUAGAUUUAGCAUUCAUUCAAUACUUAUCAAAUGCAUAUUUAUUCAGUAGUUUUCAAUAUUUAUUGAGUAGUUUUACCGUGUGUUGAAAACUAUGCCAAGUACUAAAAACAGAAUCACUAAGUAUUAAGCUAUAAACAUGCCAUGAAAGUUUUUUUAAGGCAAACAGAAGAGUAUUACAGAAUGAUCUGAAUUUUAGGAAGAAAUAAAAAAAUAAAGUAUGCCUCUAUGUGUCUAUGCCUAAGAAAACCACUGUAUAUCUAGAAGAAAAGGCUUUGAAGAUACUGUCGUGCUGGACCCUUAUUGAUUUCAAUAGGAGUGGCACCAUGUUCAAGAGGCCAAAGAAGAGACCUGGAGCCAGCAAAUGAGACAGAGGGUUUAUUGAGGGGACUUACAUACAGGGCAGCACAGUGGUGGUGGGCUGGACAGAGCAACAACUACCAUUUAUAAAAAGCAUGCAGUUUACAUAGCAUUUUCACUUAGCACUCUCCUUCUAGCAGUCUCCACCUGGCCACCUUCAUUUAACCCAAAACACAGGGCCUUGAUUCCCUAUAUGGUGUGUGUUCCACAGGAUGGGCCAUGAGUUCAAAUGUUUCUCUUAGGUAAGCAAUGACUCUCCGGGUGGCCACUCCCAGAUUUCUUAGCUCAGAAUUCCGAACACACAUUCUUCUUAGACUAUAGAGUCAUUCUCAAGGUGUGCUUAAGUUAUGGCUGUCAGGUGCAUCUGCCAUUCAGAUACAUACCAGUUGUUAGCAGUGAUAUUCUUGAAAGAAUAAUAAUUGAGG